AUAAAUGAUGUGUAGUUUAGGUAAUUCUGCAUUUCUCUAUUCCAUUCCUGCAAAUUUUCAGACCAUUCAGGAAGUUGCAAGAAUAACAUACGCCCGAUAUUUUUGGCUAUUAUCAAUGCAGGUAAUAGAAUAUAUUUUCGAAGAAUUGAUUGAGUUAUUACAUGUAACCUCUUAUUAUUUGUGCCAAAGAAAUGGCAUCCCAGGCUUCUUCGAUCGCUAUCCGUGCUCUUUUGUUAUCCUCUUUUUUGUCCUUUUCUUUUUUCUCUUCUCUUUUUGUUUGUUCUUCUCUAGACUCUAGAAUCUUGAAUUCUCCCUCUUUAUCUGUCCAAUUUUUCAAAAUUGAUUUAAUUAGUUCAGAGAUAUCAAAAGAAAAACGACGUAGGGGGGUUAUUCUGUCGACAAAAAGGGGGGAAUGUACAUUUGCUUGAAAUAGUUUCGAAAUAAAUGUUUUGCGCCUUUGAGCCCGCAUAGAGCCUGUAAUUAUACCUCGCUCCUUUUUGGCAUUGGAUAUCUUUAGCCAAAUUAUGCUAUAAUCUUUCACCUAUAUAUAUUCGAAAAGUUCUAUUUUUUUUUGGAGAGAGAAAAAGUUCCAAGAACGCAUAAAUUUAUCCUCCCCUACUGUGUUUCAUUUUUAUUGAAUCUUAGUUAGAUCCUGGCCCUUAGUUUCAUAUCAAAAGAGCUUGUCGAUUCAUUAGAACAGUAUCUUUUCGCACAUAUAUAUGUGAUGAAAAUAGUUUUCGUAAGAUUUCCUACAUUCUUAAAGAAUAUUUUAAAACUUAUUCCUGCAGAAAAUCAAUUACUACACAAAUACGGAAGAGUAGAUAUAAAAAGGGGUCUGUUUGGGUUGAGUUGUGAUAAUUCAAAGUUUUGUUGUCUUUGCUGUCUAAGGAAUUAGCACAGAAUUGAACUUAUUUGUGGGGGUUGUGUCAAGGUUAGUUGUGCAACUUCAAUGCGAGGUGAAGCCUUUUGCAUUCAUCUUAAUAUAAGGUACUUGUAUUUGGCUCCGUUGGUAAGUUGAACCCUUAUACUAAUAAGGGAUCUGCAAAAUCGAACCAAACUGCAAAUCGAGUCAAAUUGGAAAAAAACACGACUAGUGCUUGGUUGACAUUACAAAAAAUACCAACUAUAUUUGGAUUGGUUUGAUUUUAACUAAAAAAAAUUAACCCGACACCAAAUCAACCCGUAUUAUAUGUAUAAUUUAAAAAUUUUAUUUUAUACAUAAAACUAUUAACGUUGAUAUAAUUUUUAAAUA
Solanum lycopersicum (tomato) is the source of this 1252-nucleotide non-coding RNA. Lineage: Eukaryota; Viridiplantae; Streptophyta; Magnoliopsida; Solanales; Solanaceae. The record is from RefSeq and is a predicted model, not a curated record.